AGGAAAUAGAUACCCAGGUAGUCCUGGCCCUAAACGAUGGGCACUGGGUAGUGGCCCUGGCAUGGGGGUCACUGCCGCAGCCAAAGUGCUAAGUGCCCCGCCUGGGGAGUAUGGCCGCAAGGCUGAAACUCAAAGGAAUUGACGGGGGCUCACACAAGCGGUGGAGCAUGUGGCUUAAUUCGAGGCUACGCGAAGAACCUUAUCCUAGGCUUGACAUGUCCGAAAGGGGCCGGAGGUAGGACCCGGAAACGGGGACGAACGGUAUCCAACCCGGAACCGGCCGCAGGUGCUGCAUGGCUGUCGUCAGCUCGUGUCGUGAGAUGUCGGGUUAAGUCCCAUAACGAGCGAAACCCUUACCCCAGUUGCCAGCGGGUCACGCCGGGGACUCUGGGGGACUGCCGGUGUCAAACCGGAGGAAGGUGGGGAUGACGU
This 432-nucleotide ribosomal RNA is filed under the name uncultured bacterium. RNAcentral describes it as "bacterial SSU rRNA". It matches the Rfam family "Bacterial small subunit ribosomal RNA", at positions 774 to 1185 of the family's 1533-position model. The record is from RNAcentral.